GGAAGGGUUCCCGAGUUGGCCAAAGGGGACGGACUGUAAAUCCGUUAGCACCGCUUUCACUGGUUCGAAUCCAGUCCCUUCCACCA
This 86-nucleotide transfer RNA is filed under the name Clostridiales bacterium. RNAcentral describes it as "tRNA-Tyr". It matches the Rfam family "tRNA". From Rfam's summary of the family: Transfer RNA (tRNA) molecules are approximately 80 nucleotides in length. Their secondary structure includes four short double-helical elements and three loops (D, anti-codon, and T loops). Further hydrogen bonds mediate the characteristic L-shaped molecular structure. tRNAs have two regions of fundamental functional importance: the anti-codon, which is responsible for specific mRNA codon recognition, and the 3' end, to which the tRNAs corresponding amino acid is attached (by aminoacyl-tRNA synthetases). tRNAs cope with the degeneracy of the genetic code in two manners: having more than one tRNA (with a specific anti-codon) for a particular amino acid; and 'wobble' base-pairing, i.e. permitting non-standard base-pairing at the 3rd anti-codon position. The record is from RNAcentral. Lineage: Bacteria; Bacillati; Bacillota; Clostridia; Eubacteriales.